AAGUCGUAACAAGGUCUCCGUAGGUGAACCUGCGGAGGGAUCAUUACACAAAUUAAAAUAUGAAGGCUUCGGCUGGAUUAUUUUUAUCACCCUUGUCUUUUGCGCACUUGUUGUUUCCUGGGCGGGUUCGCCCGCCACCAGGACCACACCAUAAACCUUUUUUAUGCAGUUGCAAUCAGCGUCAGUAUAACAAAUGUAAAUCAUUUACAACUUUCAACAACGGAUCUCUUGGUUCUG
RNAcentral lists this unclassified non-coding RNA (237 nucleotides) under Curvularia sp. Its description in RNAcentral is "partial contains small subunit ribosomal RNA, internal transcribed spacer 1, and 5.8S ribosomal RNA". The stretch from base 1 to 46 matches the Rfam family "Eukaryotic small subunit ribosomal RNA", at positions 1786 to 1831 of the family's 1831-position model. The record is from RNAcentral. Lineage: Eukaryota; Fungi; Ascomycota; Dothideomycetes; Pleosporales; Pleosporaceae. RNAcentral also lists the same sequence under 1 other name.